Molecule: long non-coding RNA, 25135 nt
Organism: Panthera uncia (snow leopard)
Lineage: Eukaryota; Metazoa; Chordata; Mammalia; Carnivora; Felidae
Exons: 6
Source: RefSeq, a predicted model, not a curated record
UCUGAGUGGUUGUAUCAACGAGGGUGCUCACACUCUGCACCCAGAGGUUUGCAGUAAGUCUGGGUCCCACACAGAGCAGCAUGUGGUGGCUCUGGACUUCCUCGUGGAAGAGUUAUUUUUCAGAGAUCUGAGAAAUCUUAAUCUGAGGGGCAGAGGGAACCUCAAAUGCCUAGCCACAGCCUUGUUAACAACUGGUCAUCUCUGGACAUUGUUCUGGAAUGUAACAUUACAGAAUCAUGGUAGGAGUACCUCACUUUACAUUGUAAUUAGGUUGCUAUGGCAGCAAAGCUCUCUAAAUUAAGGACUUCACUUGAAUUAUCUGGCAUAACUAAACUGGCCUGUCCAAACCUGAAUCCGAUGUCUUUGCCUUAGCUUUUCUGUUAGUGAUAGCUGAAUUAUUCUUGGAAGCCAGCUCCUCUCAUUAUCAGCUAUUAACAACAAACAAUUCACAAUCAGCAAUUCCAUCGCACCUUUCAGUGACUGCCCGGAGACUUUUAAAAUUACAAUUUUCUCAAUCAGCAGACGUUUAUUUUCCCUUAUGUCAGACCCCUUGCCAGGGUCUAUAGUUUUAAAAGAUUCCCUCCGGGAACACUAGGUAUGGGAAUAAGUGGGGAAGUUUACAAUUAUAAUAAAGACUUUGAAGGAUAUUCAAGGUAGAAUCUAAGGGAACCAUCGCAGAGGCCCAAAACCAAGAAGGCCAUGUGAAACUUGCAAAAGCUACUUCUGGGGGAAGUAAGCACAGACUGAGUCGGAAAUAGCCCGUAGAACCUGGUUUGGACAGAGGGUGGCCAGUGUUAUUGCCACGGCCAGCUGAGGGAACUGAGGUGCAGAGUGACUGCUCCUGUCCUGCAGGCACCUCUUACAAACUCCUUUUUUUUUUUUUUUUUUAAGUUUAUUUUGAGAGAGAGAGCUGGAGCAGGGAAGGGGCACAGAGAGGGAAAGAGAGAAUCCCAAACAGCUUCCACACUGUCAGCCCAGAGAACUGUGAGAUCAUGACCUGAGCUGUAAUCAAGAGUUGGAUGCUUAACUGGUGGAGCCACCCAGGCGCUGCUGAGAAUUCCUAGCGAUAUAGUACCAUUCACAAAGGAAAUGUCCCAAAGGACUCUAGAUCUGAUCAAUGAUAUAUCUCACUGAAGAGCUAAGGUGAUAAAGUUCUUGGUUUAAUAGAAUUGUAAAUAAAACAUUACUAGCUCCUGUAGAACAUUGUCCUCGGAUUCAUCUUAUGCUCUUGCAAACCAAGACAUCCAGUGCUGAUCAGGAAUUUAAGAAAUUAUAAUAUCGAGAGGAAUUGUCUUCACAUAAUGGUCACACACAGAAAUGACAUCAAGAGCCAAAUGAGUGAAUGGGUGAAACAGAGGUGUGGCAGUUGAUGGAAACAAUGAGAAACUCCCUAUAUUCAAGAUGACCACACUUAAAAAUCAGUACGUAGAAAACUUGUGUGGACCCAAUAAAAUGUGUGUGCGGCAGUUUUGGAUGGGAGACAAAGGUUUCAAACCUGGGACUAGUCCUGGACUGUUCUCUAAAAAUUCAGGAAGCAUUGUUGAUUUGGAGUCUUGGAGUAAGAUUUUACAUGUACUUUACAUUAAAUUGUGAUCUCUAAUGACCAAAAAAAAUCAUUUUUUUUUUAGAUGGGUAUUGAUAUACCACUGAUUAACAGAUGAUACAGGAUUUUAUUUAAAGCUUAAAGCUACUAGUUCAUUCCAUUUGUGUAGCUGGCCAAAUCAAAAUAUUUUACAUACUGUACACUAGGUUAUUAUAAUUUGCAAGUAUAAUGUAACCUUUCCCCCCAUUCCCACUGGCAUUUCUCUUGCUCUCUUGCAAGCCUUUCUAGAAUGCUUAGGUACUUGACUUGAAAACUAUUGUUCUUUCCCAGACAAGUAGCAGUCAAAAUUUCUCCAUGGGUGACAUUUUAGUCAUUCUGAAGGACAUUUGGCCAAUUACAGGUCAUUUAGGUGACUAGUACUAAAUUAAAAGCAUUUUUAGAAAUAUUUAAUUGCUCUCCACUUCCCUCUAAAUCACCUAGGGAUUUGCUACUGAGAUGGAGUCCUAGACCAGAAGCAUCAGCAAACAUUGGGAGCUUGGUAAAAAUGCAGAAUCUCAGGCCCCACACUAGACUUACCAAAUUUGAAUCUACAGUUUCACAAGAGCCCUAGGAGAUUUGUGCGCACACUAAAUUUUAAGAAGCAUUGCUAGGUUUCUCUAUACUAAGAUCAGAACAUGAUGUUUCUAUCACAGAACUUCAUGAAAUCUAAAGCACAACACUUUAUAUCUUCAUCUUCCAAAACUUGUUGAGGCCUCAGAAGACAUGAAGGUAGGAGCCUCAAAUGUUGAUGUCUUCAUAGCAGUAUAUGAGAAAGAUCCUUGGGCAUAGAACUAGAAAUUCUGGGCUGGAAACACAGAUCUGCUAUUUACUAACUUAGCAUAAAUAAAUAAAUUUCAAACCUACAUUUGUUAAUCCUUAAUAAUGUGUACUUUACAAGGUUUUGAAAUAUCAAAUGUAAAAUUCAUGUAAGUACAGAAAACAUAAUAUUCUAAAUAAAUAUGAGUUGCAGAGAGCAUAACUGCAGGUGUGACUUGGUCAGGAUCUGGACAGAAGGUGCAUAGAACAUGCUGAUAUCAGAACACAACCAAAGGAAAACAUCACCUGCCCAGCUACCCAAAUCCUUCCCUGGCUAUUAGCUGUGUGAAAUAUAAAUGUAUAGCCAAAAGGAUCGUUUGGUCUGUAGUCAAUUGGAUAAUGCAUCUCUCACCAAGGCAUUCGGAUUAAAUUAAAUUAAUUAAUUUCAUUUAAUUAAAACAAAAUAGAAAAGACUAUUUGAAACAGGCUACCAAGUUUAGGUGUUUGGUGUAAAACAGUUUGUUGCAUCUGUAAGGUUUUUUUACACAUGGACGUAAACCAAAGGUUCUCAAAAUUUAGUGUGUAUAAGAUUCAACUGAGGAGCUUGAUACAAAUAGAGAUUUCUUUCCUCUCUGAAUUACCAGAGAAUCUGAUAUGUUAGGUCUAAGAUAUGGUGGGAAUAUGAAUUUUUAAGAAGCUUCACAGUUGAUUUUGGUGCUGACUAUCUGCAAACUAUUCUUUGUGAAAAGUUGUCUUAAAUCAAUAAAAUGCAGUUGAAGGAGAAUUCCUAAGUUUAUGAAUAUCAAACACAGUAAUAAUAAUUGAAAUAUUUGUAGCUCUAUUCUGUCUUUAGAAGACCUCUCUGUGACAGGUAAUAUGAGUAUCAGUAUUUUACUAAUAAACAGGCUAAAAGUUUAGUUAUUGCAUUUGUUCCUCCAGGUAGAAAAUGGCAAAAUCAGAAUUUGGAUACAGAUCUGUGUGAUUCUAGAGCACAGGCUGUAAAUCACUAUUUUCAGAGACACAGAAUUCCCACAAUCCCUCUAGGUAACAAGAAAUGUUCAAUAAGACCUGGUCCCCUUUGAAAGAGGGGUUUGGAUACAUGAAAUGAACUGAACUUCUCAGACAUUUCCUCCUCAUUAUGGAGCUUCAUCUGGGGAUGGGGUUUGGGGGAUAGAAGAUAAGUAAGGCAUAGAGGAAAGGACAUCUUACAUGAGUAUAUAAUUCCAGAUAACAGCCAUAUAAUAUUUUCUGGAGUUCCAUGUGCCAAUUUAGCAUGGUCUGCUCAGUAAUUCUACCUGGAAGCCCAUGUGAAACUGUCGUGUACCAGUCUGUCCUAAACCCAUGACCAUCCUGCUUCUCCUCACCAGGCCUGUUUUAUUUCAGUGGUUUCCCAUCUUAGUUAACUGCACCUCUGUCCACCUCGAUAUCUAAUUCAGAAAGCCGGAGUCAUUUUAAUUACUUGUUGCAUCUCUGCAUGUAUAGUAAUCAGAUACUUUAACCAAUUGAUUCCCUUUCCAGGUACUUUUCCGAUCUACCUGCUCUCUACAACCAUUACAUCACUGUUAAGUGCUUGCAUUACAACUUAGUUGGACUAUUCUCUUCUCAAGUGUCUGCAGUCACUCUCAUACCACCUGUCUAGACCAGCAAGAUGGCAGUCAAAUUGUCCUUUUAAAAUGAACAUAUCUAUCUCAUCUAUGGGAAAUUCCUUAUCGUCUAUAGAAAAAAAAAUUACUUAGCUGAGGUGAAAAUAUUUUGCCUGUAUAUGCACAGAAUAUCUCUGGAAGGAGCUAACAUUGGUUGCCUACAAGGAGAACUGUGUAGUUAGUGCAUAGGGCCAGAAGGGUAACUUUCCACUAGCUUACAUCAUUUUUGUAAUUUUUAAAAUUUGAACCAUGUAAACAUGUCAAAAAUUUUUAAAGGAAAUAAAAAUUCCUUAGCUGGAUGAAAUAGCAUGAUAUCAGAGAUCUGCAAAAGUAAUAAAAAUAUAAGCAGUAAAAAAAAGGAAGAAAAAAAGGAAAGAAAAGAAAGUUUGGAUAAGUAAGAAUAGAGAAUGUUGAUAAAUGUAUCUGCAGGCUGCGUAUAUUGCUGAUUUAUUUUACUAUUCAAUGCUUUAUAACAAAAAUUUAAAGAUAAAUAUAAAUCCCAAGCUUAGCCUAUAAGGCACUUCGUGAUCUGUCCUUUGCAUGCCCUUUCAUCUGUCCCAGACCCUCUUCAUGCUGCCUUCUUUCUCUCCAGGAUGAAGUACUUAGGCGUAUCUGAACAAAACCUCUUUCUUUCUUAUCUCCAUGUUUUUGCAUAUGCCAAUUCUUUUGUUGGUAAUGUUCUUGCCUUCCUUGCGUAUUCUUCCAUAUUCUUGGGAUUUAAGCUCCACAGUCACUUCUGCAGAGAAGCCUUUCCUGGAAUUCUCCUCACCUCUUCCAAGCAGAGCUAUGCCCUCCCUUCUUUAAGCUUCCACGGUACUCAGCACUGAUUUCUAUUUUGGUUCUUAUCUUAGGGUGGUAAUCACCACAACUCUUAGAACCCAGCAACCAAGGUGCCUCCCGUAGGUUCUGUGCUUUACAGGGCUCUAUGGGCCCUCCUCUGGCUACAUCCUGCCCUAGGUCUAAGGGUCUGUGGGGAUGACAGGAUGUGUCCACCUGAAAUUUUUUCCUCUCUUAUACUUCAGGUCCUAGGACUCUGACUUUUUUCUGCGAGACAGUUCUUUCUCUGGGCAUGCUGAACUCAUGGGGUGAGCAAAGUUGACAGGUAGCUGCUGGACAGAUGGGUGUGGAACCUGGAAUUUGUCAAAAUUAGUUUGGUCUGGUGAAUUGUGGAUUAGCAAGCAGAGCAACUGGAGAGGCACACACACCACCUUCUGUGGUGGUGAGAAGGGAGGAAUCCUGGACCCUCUUGCCAAAUAGCGGUUAGUCUCCAUUCAUUAUAGGAUUCCCUUAUAGUGGUUAGACCAUCUAGGUUGAUUCUUGAGCAUAUUCAAGCAUGCAUAAAAGCACAUUGUUUCAUGACACGCCAGUCGUAUACCUAGAAAAGUAUCGAUCCAUAUUAUUAUUAAUUUUUUUUCCUAAUGAGAGCAAAGAUCUGAUAGAAACAGAUGGCAACAUAAAAGUUCCUCUUUCAGUGUACAAAGAGAAGAUGAGGCUGGGCACUCUAAAGAAAGUUUGAUCUCCAUUAUUUUUCCCUACCUAACAUUUACAUACUGCUUACUCUAUGCUUAGAACAAUCCCAAUCAGUUUUGAUACAUUAAGUCAUUUAAUUUUCACAAGAUCCUUAGGAGUAGGUGUAUUCUCACUUUAUGGUUUGAAAACUAAAGUGAACAGGUUUUCAGGCCAUUCAGCUCCUAAGAAGUGAGCUGAAUUUCCAUGUAGGCUCCAGAUUUGAGGUGCUCAAAGCCCCUUUCCCACUGCCUAAGGCCAGAAAAGGGUCGUCUUCCAUAAGGGAGUCCAUGACUGCAGGUGGGAGACUCAGUCUCUACUUACUUUAUAAGUCAAAAGGAUGUAUACUUGUAAAUAUCCAUUCUCAAAUCUUUCUAGAGAGCUGUUCUUGAAGAAAAUAUUUCUAAAGUAGGCUGAUAUUUUGUAGCUUUUAAAUCUAGGAAGAAUCUAGAUUUAGGAAGAAGUCAAUUAAAUGAUUAAAACUUAAAGUACAAGUGGCCAUGAAUAUAAAUCAAUUGUUUCUAAAUACUAAGGCUUUCAGAAAUAUCUUCAUAGAAUGGUGCCUAUUCAAUCUAAGUCACUUCUUUCCAGGUCAUACUUUCAUGAACAGUGGUGAUGUAAAAUCUCAAUCUUUUAUAGUCUUGAUAAGCUUUUUAGAAAUUUAUUUCAAAAAUAUAUGAAAUUCUUUCCAAAGGAAUUAUUCAUACUUUAUACCCUAAAAUCUUUUUAGAUUUUCCUGGAAGAACUAUAAAGUCAUUAUUUUAUUUUAAAAACAUUUUAGUGAGCACUUAUUAUGCAUCAAUAAUAAGUGGUUAGGCAUCCAACUUUGGCUCCUGUCAUGGUCUCAUGGCUUGUGAGUUUGAGCCCCAUGUCGGGCUCUGGGCUGACAACUCAGAGUCUGGAGCCUGCUUCAGAUUUUGUGUUUCACCCUCUCUCUCUGCCCCUCCUCUGCUUGUGCUCUCUCUCUCUCUCUCUCAAAAAUAAAUAAACAUUAAAAAAUAAUAAUAGUAAUACCAAAAACAUUAAACCCCAGCCCUGCCUUAAAGAAGUUCCCAAUAUACUGACUAAAACAGACUUAGAUCACUAUAAUAGAUUACUAUAAUACAGUGUGAUGAUGGUAAAUAAUAUAUACAGAGGGGGUGUUGUAGAAAGAUCCCUGGAGUAGAUUAACUGUAAAUUGCAUUGGAAUACCUAAAAUUAGUUUGCCAGGUAAAGAAAUUAAGAGAAGAGAUUCUACACAGAGAGAAUCUGGUGAAAAAACAGUUACUGGAUGCCAACAUACGUAGGACUCCUAAAACAAACAAACUGGUGCCUUCUGCAGCAGAAAGUGCAAUAUCCAGUUUAUGUCAGAAAUUCUCUACAACUGUAAUCAACUAUAUCACGCUCCCUAAAAUGUCUAACUGCUAGAUUGUGAGGCAGUGGACACAGUGGGGAAGUAGGACCACACAAACAACAACAACAACAACAACAACAACAACACAAAAAACAAAACAAACAAACAAAAAAAAAACAGAGAAAGAAAAAGCCAGAUGUCUUCCUACCUUCAGAGUGACAGUUAUAAGUCACCCUGGCAGGGGAAUUAUCAGCUCAGAACAAGUUUUUGUUGUGCUAGGGAGCACUAAAACAAAUCAGAUACGUCAUAGUAGAGCAUGACGCAUGACUUUAGUACUGACAUAAAGAAAAGUCUUCUUUCGUGUUCAAAUAAUGUCAGAGAAUACUGUUGAAAUCUGAGACCAUUUUAUUUUAUUAGUUUUUUUUUUUAAUGUUUAUUUAUUUUGAGAGAGAGAAAGUGAGAGUGUGUGUGUCGGGGGGGUGGGGUGCAGGAGAAAGGGUGGAGGAGGACCAGAGAGAGAGGAAAUGGAGAAUCCCAAGCAGGAUCCACCUUAUCAGUGGAGCCCAACUGGGUGGGGGGGCCUCCAUCUCACCAGCCAUGAGAUCAUGACCUGAGCCAAAGUGAAGAGUCAGACACUUAACUGACUGAGCCACCCAAGAGCCCCCCAAUUUUAAAUAUGAACAAAUAUAGGAGUGCCUGGGUGGCUCACUCAGUUAAGCUAUCUACUCUUAAUUUCAGCUCAGGUCAUGAUCUCACAGCUGGUGAGAUGGUUCCCUGCAUUGGACUCUGUGCUGACAGUGUGAAGCCUGCUUAAGAUUCUCUCAGUCUCUCUCUCUCUCUCUUUCUCUCUCUCUCUCUUCCCUCCCCUCCCCCACUCCUGCUCCCUCUCUCAAAAUAAAUACAUAAACUUUAAAAAAUAUGAAUAAAUUUAAUAUCAUAUAAUAAAUGCUGCCAAUAUAAUGUCAAAUUAAUAGUAGAAUUUUAUAGUAAAAACUGUUGCUUAGUGUAAAGACUAUAUGCUUAGAGGCAAAUGGUGAGCGUUUAUAUAUAUAUGUGAGAGUUUCAGCUUCAUCAUUUACAAACUGGGUAAACUUGAAAAUCUCAUGAAGUAUCCAAGCCUCAGUUUAGGGCCUUUAUAGAAUGAGGCUAGUUUUUAGGAAUGUUAUGAGGAUUAAGUGUUAAAGCAUCUAACACAUAGUAAAUACUCAAAAUACCAAUUUUUCCAAUAAUUAAUUUACAAUUUAUGUCCCAUCUAAUUACACAAGAGAACUUGAAACAGACUUGGAGACAAGUAAACAAAGACAUAACAACAGAUAAAAUUAAACAUGACAUAAAUAACAGAACUCAUUUACAAGAAAGAAGUUUUUACAAUUUUAUUAGGAAUAUAUUCCUUCAGAAUUCCGGAGGAUUGUUACUCUCUGAAGGAACAAUUUAGGUUGUUGAAAUUUAUGUUGGAACUCGAAAGGUGCCCUUCAUUUUGCAAGCUAUUACCUGAAAAUCCCUUUGACAUACAAACAUAGUGAAUUGGCUUUAUUUUUGUUCCUUGAGUGAUUUGGGCUGGCUUAUUUCCAUAAUACCUGAAUGGCAUGUUUGUAAGCUGCCAAUAUUUUAUUGUUCUGAGUUUUUUCUCACACAAGUCAAUUUGAUUGUUUCUGGUUUAGUCAAAUUCCACUGGGGAUAGUAGACAGUGUGUACUCCUUCUAAUGAUCUAAGUUACCAAUGUUUUCUUUACACUGCUAGGAAUGAUGAAUGGAAUUACUCAGAAUCUCAAGUCAAGUAGGAGGCUAUGAGCUGAAUUCAGAUCACAUGAAGUAAAAAACAGUUCACUAUACUAACAUUUAAUUUGUCUGGUUUCUUUAUCAAAGGAGAUUCCCUAUUUCUACAACAUUUCUAUACAACUAAAGGCUAUCCCCUAAAUCUUGAAACAAAUGUUGAGGAGAUGUUUUCCUCUAAUGCCUGACAGAUAGUUAAUUCUCCAGGCCUCUACUGCAUUCUCCUGAAGGUACUAAAUGCAUCCAGAAGAUCUUUGAAAGGCCUCUGUACUGCCAACAGCAAAUGGUAAUAGAUUCUGGGAUGGAGAAGGUGUCAUUCCAGUAAAUGACCGUUGAGUUCAAGUUCAUUUACAUUUAAAAAAUACAAUGUAUAAAAUAAUUACAAAUUCCUAUCCCAAUUUGUUCUUUCAAUUUCAUAAAAAUCAUUUGUGAAUCUAUGACUAAUGGUGAAGUGGGGAGAUCUGAAUUUAGUAAGAAAAUCGUGGUCAAGUUUGUGAAAGCGAUAACAUUAAUUGUGUAUGCUGCACUAUUUUUAUAUGUGCAGAAUAACAUUUUUAAAAUUUGGAAUUGAACAAAUAGUAGCAUUAAACAAAAAUAUGGUUUUAUAUUUUAGGCUGAGACGUGAUUUUGCUAGUGUCUUUUAUUUUAAAAUGGGGACAUCUUGGUCUUCAAGUUUCCUUACUGAGUGUCUUUCUCUUGCCAUGUAGUUUGGACAGGGGACCAGAAGGAUUUGGGGUGUCAACCAUCCCUCCCUUUCCCACCCCAUCUGUUAAAAUAGAGAUCAAAAAUUUUAGACCACUCAUAUAAUAAUCCCAGAUAUGUGAAUUUGCCCAAGAAAUGAGGACCUCACCAAUAAAAGAACUACUUGAAGAAGUUCUGGAGUUCAUAUGAAAUGGGUGAAUCAAGGAGGUGUUUACUCCAAUACACCUUUAUACCUCCCACUCAUGAAUUGCUAAAUUCUACACAGCUACUUUGCAUCCCUUGUACUCAGUCGAGUGGAUGGGGCACUCAGUAAACAGACAAUUAUCACUUAACUUAGGUCUCAGUGGUUUCAAGAUAAAAUGGAAACCAUAAUCUCUGCUCCAGCUGGUUGUUGUGAGUGUUCAUGGGCAAAUGAAAUCACUGAGGGACCACAGUGAAGAUAGAGAAAUACGCUGUUGUUACAGAGUUUAUGUUAGAGAUGGAGGGAGACAGGCAAUAAUUUAAUAAUUUAAGACAGGCAAGACAUAUAAUUUCAGAUCUCAGAAAUGUAGGGACAUUAAAAUAGAGUGAUGAAGCAGAUAAAUUUUAGAGGGAAGAUGCUAAAAUGGACAGAAAGGGAAGAGGAGGGCCACCGUUAAGCACGAUGCCACUAGCCUAUGAAGCUUUGUGCAAAUUCGAAAAAUGUGUCUUCUGAGUAUAUGCAGGCCACGGUGGUAAGAUUUGGUCAGGAAAACCUGCUUAGUGCAAAAUUAAGAGGCAGCUCUCUCCUGGCCAGUUUCAGCUCCAGUCCAGGGCAUGCUGUCUUGGGGUGGGGCAAUCAGAGUUGGAGGCCUUUGUUACACAACUGCGCGAAUGCAUAACACAGGAAGUGGCCCUUUCUCCAAGGAGAACACAUCUGAGCUCUGACUUGAAUACAAAGGAGCAAACCUUAGGAAGAUGUCUGAUAAAAGGAUUCUUGACAGAGAAUAGCAGUACAAAAAGCCUAAGCUAGUGACCAGACUGGCUUGUUUAACGGUCAUCGGUGAUGGAAAACAGAGACAAGCUCAUAGCAGACCAUUCUAGCCUAUUCCGGUGAGUAUGGAUUUAUCCUAAGGACAAAGGUAAGAUUUUGUAGGGUUUUAGUACAGCAUGUAGGUUUUUUAAAGAUCACUGGCUGGUGUGUGAACCAAAAAAAUGUUUGUAGAGAAAAGGAUAUGAGGGACAGCAAGAUAUCAGGUGGAGACUAUUGAAAUGAUAGAAAGUAAGAAAGUGACAUGGGCUUGGACUAGGUGGUUUGAGGUAGAGAUUCAAUCAUUAAUGCAACAAGUAUUUAUUGAAUGCCUACUGAGUACCAGGUACUUCCGUAGGAUAUGGAGUUAUAGUAGUGAACAAUACAGACAAAAUCACCUAUUUCGUGGAGCUGAGAUUCCAGUGGGUGGAGACAAAAAACAGUAACUAAACAAGUAAAAUGGAAAUAAGUAUCUUAUUAAAAAUGUAUCAAGAAAAAGUAAUAAGAAAUGCUAUUCAGAAUAAUGGGUGGCAUUUUUAAAUAUAUGAUAAAUGAAAAACAUAGGAAUUGGAGGUAAGUGGAUGGAUUCAGAGUACAUUUUGACAUAAACCCAAUAGGACUAUUAAAUGAAUUUAAUGUAAGAAGUGAGGGAAAGAAAUCAUUUGACUUGAGCUUCUGGGAACAACUGAGAACACUCAGAUAAGGGCAAGGAAUUUUCCAUUUACCCAGCCAGGUGCUGUUUAUGAACUAACUGCUUAGUCAUUGUUGUCACUUGGAUUAUGUAGUUUUUAAUUUUGCCAGAGGUCUUAUAUAGAGGACACUGAAGUAGAAGCCAUAGUUACUUUAUAUUAGAUUAUUCCAAUAAUAUAUUAUAUUGGUAAUUAAUUUACAAGUUUUUUGCUAUGAUUUUAGAAAAGUUUUAGGCAAAUGGAUUAUUUAGUAUAAAUUGGUUACACAACCCUAUUAUAAGUGUUUUAAAACACCAAAUUCUUUAACUUCUUAGAUCAAAGAAACUCCUCCAGGCCAAAAUGUUUCUACUGGAAAGGUUUCUUUGCAUCCUGAUAAAAAGCUUCCCUAAUAUUUCCAUGUGUUAUAUAUUUGCAUAUUCACUUUGAUGGAAAGCAUGGAAUAGCAGCCAAAUGCAUAUUUCAUACAUUCUUUUGAUUAAAAAUGAUAAAGGUAAUAUUAGUGUUUUUUCCUCUUCAUCUCCAAUUUAUGAAGUAGAAAUAAUUUUCCAUGAACAGUCAACGAAAAGAAAGGAAACAAGAUUGAUUUGAGAUUAUAUCAUUGUUCUAUUUAUCCUUAUACCUCAAUUAUGACAAAAUACCUGAUGUUUGGGAUCUAAUGAAAAUAGAGGCACAGAAUCAUGAUCCUAGAGUUUUGGGGUAUAGGAGAGACCUUUGAAAUCAGCUAUUCCAACACCCUGAGUUUUCAAAUGGAAAAAAAAAGUCCCUGGAAGGAUAAAUGGCCUAACAAAAUCAUACACUGAGAGCAAGUCCAAUAUAAGAUUAAGACCUUUUCCACUCUAUUUUAUUUUUCUAUUUAUUUAAUGUCUAUUUGGAAGAUCGAGAUAAAUGCCAGUUAUCUAUUAUUAUCAAUGAUUCCUAACCCUUGAAAGAUCUGUAAGUAUUUAGUUCAUUCUAUGAAGAGUUUUACAGUUUUCUUUGGUGUUCAUGUUUUGUUUCACCUUAAUUAGAUGCUGAAUUGACCCCAAGUGGCCCAUCAAAAAGACUCCCUACUUAAAGAUCAAUCUUUUUGUUACCUGACCUCAUUUCCACAAUUCUAGAUAGACUUUCACUGGGAGACUUUUAAGUUUUUCACAAUUCCUGUUUCUUUACUUUUCUUAGUUUCUUCUAGCUCUCUGAACCAUAUGUCUUCCAAACCCACAGCAAAUCAUAUUUGCACACAAGGUAAACCAAGGGACAGACAGUAAAGAUGGAAGAAAGAGACAGAUAGGUAAAAUGAAUCAUAUGUUUUUCUUUUAAUGCAAAAGCCAAAGGCAGGAGGAAAAGAGAUAAAUGAGGCAAAUUAGAUGAACUGCAGUCACAAUUAAAAGAAAUAAAAAUAAAAACUUAGAAUGCACUCAUGCACAUGCAAUGCAAAUCUCCCACUUGACAUCUAAUCAAAUAUUUUUUUUAAUUUUUUAAUAUUUAUUUAUUUUUUUGAGAGAGAGAGACAGAGACAGAGGACAAGUAGGGAAGGGCAGAGAGAGAGAGGGAGACACAGAAUCUGAAGCAGGCUCCAGGCUCUGAGCUGUCAGCACAGAGCCUGAUGUGGGGCUCAAACUCACAAGCCGUGAGAUCAUGACCUGAGCCCAAGUCAGACACUCAACCAACUGAGCCACCACAUGCCCCUAAUCAAAUAUUUCCGGGAUUGCAAAUUCUGAGUGAUGACAUGGCCUAGAACAUGGCUUAUUCCAGUUAUUCCUCAAAACGUGGCCAUUUUAUCUCCUCCCUUGAUUCGCUUCCACACACUCUCCUCACAUGCUCCCAGAGCACCCAGGAUGCACUUUAUCUUCUGAGCAUCAAUGCACUGAUGUUUAUAUACAAGUUUGGGCUUUACACCCCCCCACGUUUUUAAAUCUUCAGUAGACUAUGAGCAACUUGAGGACAGAAUCUGCAACAGCACUAUAUACUUGUGAAAGGAAAGGAAUCAUUAAAGGAGAAAAUGAAUGACUAACUGAAUGAGUGAAUCAGUGCAUGUUAGAUGCUACUCUGUCACAUUUUCUAGAACAGACCAAAUUAUAGCUAUUUUUUAAGUUCUUUAUAGAGUAUAAAAUACUUCCAACAAAAAAGUGAAAUUUUAUUUACUUGUUUAUUCAUUCACUCAUUCAUUCAUUCAUUCAUUCAUUUAUUCAUUUUUAAUCAUUAACGGUUCCAGACCAAAGCAUUCACUUUCUUUCUUUGAGUAUCUUUACCUAUUUAUGAAUGGAACAACAGUCUUGCUAUGAAAGUGAAAAAUUAAUGUGUUUACCCAUGGCUAGUGGGAAAAAGUGAGCUAAAGUCCAAAAUGAAGAAAGGUAGCAUCAUUAAAUAAUUCAAUCAAGAUGUAACCCUUGUAAUAUAUUCUGAAUAUCUAUAGGUCCCCUCAAGUGGAAAGAAGACUAUGUAAAUUAUCCACUCAGGUAUUUUUCAGCCUAAAUAAUUCUGCAACUAAAUGUAACUUGAAUAGUGUUUUAGUGCCAAACAUUGAAACCCAAAGAAAUUAAACAACUUGCUAAAUUCACCUAAGUGCUUAUAAGCAGGACCCGUGUAUGAAGAUGGCAGGUGCUGUUUUCUUUGCACAGUAGCAUGUUGUCUUUGUAUUUUGCGUCUAUUUUAUAAAUAGCAUAAAGAGAAAAGGAAUGAACAAAAUAUAUAACGACAUUUGGAAUAGUGCUGAGCAAUUUUAAUUAAUUGCAAUUAUUGCGUUGUUAUAUUGUGUUUUAGAAUUCUAUACUCAAUGAUAUAAUCUUAUAAUAAUUAAAAAGCAGAUCUUAAAUGAAGUUCUCUGUAUUAUAAUAAAGUGAUGUUAUUAAUGGACAUUUUACCUAUUGUUCCACUUGAAGACAAUUUAAAAUACAAAUAAUGCAUGUUUUUGACCAUCGGUUGUUAGUAUUCAAAGUUAUAAUGAAUUAAAAUUAGGUCUCUUAGAUGCCAUUUUCCAAUGUCAAAAAUAUCUGACAUUCUUUACCAAAUGGGGAUGACUACUUCCUAAGGUGUUGAGUGGUUGGAGAAGCGGUAGGAUAAAAAUAGCUCAUCUUACUAGAAAUCAACUUUCUGCAGCAUUAUUUAUAAUGGCUUAUUUAUGAAAACAACCCAGCUGUCCAUCAGCAGAUGAAUGGAUUUAAAAAAAUGUGAUAUAUGUAUAUGCUGGAAUUGGACUCUAUCUAACUGUAUCUAUUUAUCAAGAGAAAAUGGAAUAUUAUUCAGCCAUAAAAAGAAGGAAAUUCUGCCAUUUGUGGCAAUAUGAAUCAAUCUUAAAGAUACUAUGCUAAGUGCAAGAAGCCAGACAGAGAAAGGUGAAUACCAUAAGAUCUCACAUGUGGAAUCUAAAAUAAUAGAACUCAUAUUCCCACAGAGAACAAAUUGGUGGUUGCCAGAGGUGGAGUGGGAUGAAGGGUGGGUGAAAUGAGUGAAGAUAGCCUAACGGUACAAACUUCCAAUUAACUAUAAGAUAAAUAAAUCCUGGGGCUAUAAUGUACAGCAUGGUGACUAUAGUAUUGUUUAUAAAUUGAUGAGAGAUGAGAUAUUAAAUGUUUUCAUCAUUAAAAUUAUAACUAUGUGCAUUAUAAAAAUUAUAACUUAUGGUGACCAUUUCACAAUAUACACACAUAGAAAAUCAUCAUGUUGUACACCUAAAACUAAUAUAAUAUUGUGUCAAUUAUCUCAAUAAAACUGAAAAAAAAUAAAGAGAUCUAACUUUAGUCAAUUUAUAAAAAGAAAUCAACUUUUUCUGCAUGGCAAAUAUUUAAAAUAUUAUACUUAUUUGUAAAUUUUAAACACAUAAUUGAGUAGAAUUAAAAAUGCAUAGUUUUGGGGGUACCUAGGUGGCUCAGUCAGUUAAGCAUCUGAGUCUUGAUAUUGCUUAGGUCAUGAUCUCAGGGUCCUGAGAUCAAAUCCUGUAUUGGACUCCAUUCUGGGCCAUGGAGCCUGCUUGUGAUUCUCUCUGUCUCUCCCUCUUUUCCCCCUACCCCUCCUCUUUCUCUCUCUCUUUCUAUCUCAAAAAAAAGAAAAACAAACAAAAAAAAACAAAUAAAAUAAAAAUAAAUGUAUAGUUUUUGAGGAAAAUCACUAAACCUCAAUAAAAUUUUGAGUUAAAAUCUCAGGUUUCUUUUAUAUCCCUAGGCAAGCCCUUCCUCCCUCACACAUUAACAUACUGACUAAUAAUAGUCUAUAAUUCACUUCAUUUAAUUGAUCAUUGCUGUUAAUACAAAAGAACCAGUCCUGAUAAGGUUGUUGUUUAUCAACCAGGUAAUUAUAACAUGGCAUACACCUAAAUAUGAGUACAUUUAAUGUGUCAUAACUCUCAAGUCAAAAUGUAAUAGUUCAGGCUUUAUAUUCAGUAUUACUUUUCAGAGACACUUUAAAGACUUCCUCAAAGAUGGAAAAUCAAGUCACACCAAAUUGUUGAUCAUUGGGAAAGUAUGUAAUCAGAAAGAUGAGGAAAUAAGAGAAAAUAUGGCCCCCAAGACAAAAUCAUUACAUUUACAGAACAUAUUAAAAAAACUUACAAGUAGCAUAACAAAUUCACUUCUCAAGAGCUAGGAAGCUUGACAUUUUUGUAAACUAUCUAAACAUGACGAAUAAAUAAUGUCUCCUUCUGUCUCAUGUCUCUUCUAGCUGUUUGACUUUAGGAUUCUACCAAAGAGGUUAUUGACAGAGAGCAGCUGGCAGAGUUGAUUGCUAAAUCAAUUCCUAAACUGCUAGAAUCUGUUGUUUUCAUUCUCAGUAACUUCAGGACCCACCAACAACCUUCGAGAUAAAUUUACCCUAGGUUCUCUUCUAUCUCAAUUUGCUGUCACUUUAACCAUUAAAAAUAAAAUACACUUAAAAAUCUAAUCAUGGAACUGUGUGAUAUUUUAUCAGGCUUUUGGCCAACUUAAUAGAAUCCCAGGAAAUUCAAAAGCAAACCAUAUCCAAGACUCCUUCAGUAAUUUCAGUGAAAAACAUUUGUGCUCUUGAGUAUGAAGUCACAGUCCCCUUUGCCUGGGGUUUCUAUACCAUAUUACUUUCACUGACCAACCAACAAACAAACUGAAAGUUACCAACAGACUGCCUUCUUUCUUUGGCAGUUGUAAUGACAAGAUUUAGGAGUGCAUGUCAAAUUUGCAUUAUAUACAGGGAUGGUGAGUUUUUCUUAAAUUAUACCACUUAGAAAAUAAAGUGAAGGAAAAAAGAAAAGAAAACCUAGGAGGCAGUGACCCCCUUUUUAAAAUAGAUUUAUAAUUCUCCCUACAAUGCUGGAGAUAAUAUCCAGCCAUCUGAGCAAAUUCCGAAACUUCCUCUUCGUUCAAUUCCCUAAUCUAUGAGGUGGGAAAAUUAUAACCCAGCUCCUAGGUUUUGGUAAGAACUCAGUGAGAUGAUCCACGUCCAGAGUUUAGCAUAGCACCUGGCCUGGCAUACCAUUAGGAUUUAGUAAUCCAAUUACUAAAAAUUGACUAAAAAUCCAAAAUUCCAAUGGAAUUUUUAGCAUUCCAUUGUCUUCAUCAAAGCCAUCAUGAUCAUCAUCUCUGAUCGCCCUCAAACAUCUUUAAAAGGGAGGUAGCUGCUGAAUAAUGUGUGUAUGACUGAGUUUUCCUUCACCCUAGGUAAGCCAUAUAAAUCAAGGUGCUUUGGGACUUUUUCUCCUUAUCCUCAAAAGCAGAGACAGACUUUUUUAAGCUAUUGCAUGGGAUUUGAAAAAACGGUGUUGCUUCUCUUUUAUACAGGGAUCUCAUUCAUAUAAAAUAAAAUCAAUUUGGCACUUUUCAACCACCCUGUUUAGCGAUUUCCAUACCACACAGUACUUGGCAAAGGGAUGUUGCAACUAUCCUAUCCUUUGUCUCCACCUGUGAGAAAAUUUCUUUCCUUUUUUUUUUUUUUUUUGGUUUGUUUGUUAAUUGUCUCUGACACAUGCAUAUAUCCCAUGUUCACAAGCAAUUCAAAGAGAUAUGGAAAGCUGAAGGAAGAAUCAUAGAGCCAAUGAAAAAGGGAACUUCAGGUUUUAGGAUUUAUCUCAGGAGGAGACAAAGGAUUUGAUGUUUUGUUUUAGCUGAGAAUUCUCUACUGGGUGCUUUAAUAAAGAUGAUAAAACUCUACACCUUUUCAACUACAGGCAUAUAACAUAAACUUAAAUAUUUUAAUACUUGCACUUGAUAGAUAAAGGAUAAAUGAUAACAUGUUAAUAAUUACUGUUUAAUAGGCUUACAAACACAAUUAAAUUCACAAAUACAUUCUCACUUGAAUGACACAUUUGGAAAUCAUCCAACUUCUCUUCCUGUUUUAAAUUGUGUAUAAUUGAUACCAUUUUGUCAUUUGAAACAAUACUCACUGCUUAUCCAGUGUCUGCCAGGAGGCUACUUAUAAUUAUACAAAAAAAAUAAUAUUCCUCUGGGAGAAAAAUCAUCAUUAAUAUAAUCCCAUCAUGAAUAAUAGAAAGUGGAAACGGUUUACAUCUUAUGCAACUAUUUUAUAAGAGAAUAUUAAUUCAUCAGGUUGUUUUUUACAGGAUGUUUCAAUACGACAGUACUGGUUCUUUCUCUAUAUCUAUUUGCCCUUUCUAUAAGAGAUUCUAAUUAUUACAAACAAGUCUCAUCCACUAAACACACGCUUAUUACCUAAACACUGUGGAUGGAUACAAUAGAAAGUAAUUUGUAGGUGGCAGUUUUUCUUUCAGGAAAGCUUCAUGUCAACCACGAAGCAGAAAUAUGGAAUAAAAUAGAAUAGUGGGGAUUUAAGAGAUGUAAUAUAAAUAAUUAAGUGUGAAUGACAAAGGAGAGACGCUAAAGUAUAAUGGGAUGCACAGUGAUGUAGAUGACAUCCAUAUGGUGAGAUAUUGCUUUGUUCAGUUUUUACCCUGUGUUGAUUUCUCACUUGGUGUUGUUAAUGAAAAGUACAUAUAAUUAUAUGACUAUUUUAUCCCCCUUCUAGUGAAAAACUUGACUACCUAAAAAAAAUAAGUAACAAGCUCAUUGUAAGCAAUUAAUAAGAACAAUCACAAUGAUGUUGAAAGUAAGCAUUGGAAACAUACUAUAGCUUUAUAAAGUCUAUCCUAACCUCUGUGGGCCUCUCCUCUUUAGACAUUAAUAGUGAGUAUAAUCUGCAAACAUGAUUUAGUACUUAAUUACUACCUUCUCCCAUUUUUCUUCCCCAGCUGCUUUAUACUGUUCAUUGUUCUACUUGUAAUAAUCUGACUAGAUUGUUUUCUCCUUCUGCUUUGAAACUCAUGUUAUGACCAUUAGUAUUCUUAACAGAGUAUUUUAGAAAAUAUUUUUAGAGAACCAAAAUAUAUACCGGAUCAAAAAAUGCUGAGCAACUAUUAGACAUCAAAAUGUUGAAUUUGGUAGCAGUAAUGUUAAUAUUGCAAAAUUCAUUAUUGUCUCCAUCUUGCACAAACAUCCUGUACAGGAAAAAAAGCUAGGGGUGAGGACUAUUUGUUCAUCAUCUAGGUCUCUCCGAAAGCAGUUAUAUCAAACUGCUUGGUUCACAAUUAGUUGUACCAAAAUAAGUAUGGGGCAUAUUUGUUAUUCUCAUAUUUAAAUUAAGGCCUGCUUUAGAAAAGUGAUAAGAACUAUAUAUAUAUUUAUUUGAAAGCCACAGAUUCUCCAUUCUUUAUCUACGGGGCCACCCAAAUGAACCUUAGAGCAGGACAAGGGGAAUAUAUUCACAUAAUUACUAGAAUGCUUUUUUAAUCUGCACUCUUUCAUAUGAAUUGACAGAUAAGAUUAUUAUAAGACAUGGCACAUUAAUAAAUAACACCUAAUUAGUUUGAUAAUUCUUUGAUUAAGCCUUAAUUUUCCUUGCUUUUCAUGCAGCAAUUCAAAUUACUCUGUAUUAUUUGUUCCUUUUUCAGACUAUUUUAGAACAUGCUUUGAAUAGUCUCAGUAGGUUACCUGAGGAGGAAUUUAUUUUUGUCUGACAGCAAGUCCAUGCCAUUAAGAGUGACAAGGCUAGACCAAAACGAUGCUUUAUUCAAAGUUCCCUCACAGCAAAGAUACUCCUCUAAAAUCCACCACUUCUUUCAAAAGGGUUAGGAGACAAAUGUGAAGAAUGAGAAUGUAAGGAAAAUAAAACAGGCCUUCAUUUUGUUUCCUUUAAUUGGACACAGAGAAGUGAAGUCAUACAACUUGGUAUUACAAGGACAGCGGUCUUUCUAUUUACUAGCCCUCUCCCAAAAUCUAUGGUCCCUUUACCUGCUAGAGAGAGUACAGCAGCCUUAGAGGAAUCACAGCCAGGCAAAGGUUCUCAGAUCUAUUUCUAUGUACAUACCAGCUAUUUAUAGUGACUAGAAUGUUCCGUGGAUUGAUUGUGACAAAUAUGGAAAUCUAAUACAUUUAUCUUGAACAGCUUCCACGGACUUCAGAUAAUCAGAGGCAACUCUCACAGGGUAUGCUAUGUCCAGGAACCAUGCAUGCCUGUAAUUAAGUGUAGGAUUUCUCCUCUUUCUUUCUACCACUUUUUUCUGAUUCUUUAUGCUGCCUGCAGUUUACAGAUGCAUGCAGCAAACCAGUCUUUGUUAAUUCUGAGCCUCUGUCUCUAGAGAUACUACCAAUAACUCCUUUAAGAAUCUUUACAUAGGGCCUAUUUGCAAUGCUUAGAAACCUGUCAUCUUUUUAAAUAACAAGAUUACUUCCAGGAAUGAAUAAAGAGGGCUGUCCUGGGAUGAUCAUCAAUAAUUUUUUUCGUUGAGAAAAAUAUUAUGCACCAUGAAUUCAAUUCAAUAAACAUAUCGUGGAUCUGGCAAAGUAUGAGACAGUAGGGAUUUAAAAGCAAAUGUUUCUUAAAGUUGUAUACAAGGCAGAAAAGAAAGACUUGUUAGGGAGAGAAUGCUAAUGAUAAACAAUAAUUAAAUCAGAAAGGAAUCAGGAGUGGUGGGUAGAAAAUCACAAUUUUGUUAUUGGGCACAAUCGUCACCCCCCCCACCACUAUAUGUGUAAAUAGUGCUUCUUAAAUGUUAAUGGGUGUUCUUGGAUUGGUCUAAAUGUUAACCCUAAAAAAUAAUGCCUAUUAUUCUCCUUAUAAAUAAGCACCAUGCCUAUUUAUUCAGUGCUGUAUCUGUAGAAUCUAGCAUAGUUCCGAAAACUCAUCUAAGAUAUGCUUAAACCAAACUCAUUAUAAGCAUAUAAUGUAAGAUUUUUCCUACAAUCCCCAAUAUAAUACUGUCAAUUAUGUAUUAUUGGCCACAUUACAUAGGUAGUAGAUCCAAGGCUAAAAGACAUCAGAUGGCUACGAUGGAUAAAAUUGGUGUUGUGUAUUUGUUGAUGUGGUUCUGCUUGUAACAACUCAUAGAUAUGUGCCCAGUUACUAAAGAAACGCUGACACUCAGAGAGCAAUGGACCCUUAAAUGUGCUUUGACCAUCUGCUAAUGUAUUCUGUGACAGUCUUAUCAGCCUCAUUUGACAGAGGAGGAAAUGAAGGCCUAAAGAGAUUGAUUAAUGUGACUAAGUCAUAUUUCAAGCAUGUGGCAGGGCCUAGAAUUAAAGCCAUGCAGUCCGGCUCUAGAGUCUACUUGCCUACCCACCUGCUUUCUCUGCCUGAAAUGUCCAUGCAUUGGUGGCUACCUCCAAAGAAUCCAAAUAAAACCAUGGAAAACAACAGAAAGCAGCCAAAGAAGGAAAGCAAAUUAUUACUCCAUUUUAGGUUAUGAACAUGUCAGUUCUAGCACUUUUCUCACUGCACUAUGUUUUUAGUAAAUAAUCACAUAUACUCACUCUUUUCAUUUACAUCUAAACCUCAUUUAAGUUUCUACCUCAUGUGUGAACUUAAAUCGUCGAAAUAGUUUAUAACAUUUUGAGUUACAACAUUAAUUUCUUAAGUCACUUGUACACAGUUCCCAUCACCACCUAUAUGAACGAUGACUUAGUAAAUUUGUCCUUUCUUCCUUCAAAACCAUGUUUUAGAUUCAUCAGUGUUAGCAAUAUUUCAUAAACUUUACCCUAUUUCUAAUCCCUUUAGCAGAUGCUGCUUGAUCACACUCUCUGUAAUGCUGAUUUCAUGUCAUUGUUGUACUUCAAAUUUUUCAGACUCUCUUCCAUGCCAAGUUACAUACAGCUUUGCUGAUUGACCGAGUAUAAUGUCACCACAAACUUAUCACUCCUUAUUUCCCGAUGUUUUCUAAUCUUAAUUUAUCUUUUUGUCAGUCCAAUAUCCUCAUUGUCAUACAAACACAUCAAUUUCACAUGCUCUGCCAUGUCACGUCCAUGUUCAUUUUCUCUUUCAUUCAUACACGAACCAAGGCCUGUGUAUUCCUUAGCACUUAGUCAAAUACUCCCCAUCUUUCAAAUUCUAGGUGUCCUUUGUCUUCCCUGACAUCAAGAAUCACAGAUGUCUCUCUGAAACAUGUAACAUGUGGUGUCAGUAUUAUGCAAUCUCACUCCCAAUUUUAACCUUUUACCAUUUUCUGUUUCAAAUAAUUCUACUUGUUAAAGUUAGGGAUCAUCUUUUAGUAUUCUUAUAUCCCCUACUGUGUUCAUUCUGAGACCACAGUGCAUGCAGUAUUCAUGUAUUCAAUAUUUGUAUGCUCACUUAUUUCACUCACUCUCUUGGUAACCUCAUUUCCACCAUUGACCUCUCACCAAAACUCCACACUUGAUUAUCUAACUGCUUACUUCAGAGUAUGCUGUGAAAAUUAAAUGAGUAAAGUGUGUGACAAUAGUUGGUAUGAACCUUGGUAUUUAGCAGGUGCUUAAAUGAUGUUUCGAUUGGAAUCUUCAUAUAUUCCCCUUUUGUAACUGAACACCAUCAUCUGCGGCCUUAAGAAUAGGUAAUGGAUUUGAAAUCUCCUACAUCACUAGCUCUUCUCACUCUCAUGAGUUUUGACCAGUCUUUUCCUUUACUCCCUAUUUAGAGCACUAUUAUUAUUGUUUUUUCAAGUCAACAACCUCUGAAUAAUCUUUUAUUUUCCUCUCUUUUGGUAUUUGUGAUGAUAAAACCCAUGGUUCUACCUCUGUGAACCUCCUUGGACAUAUCCUAACUGUGCAAGAAGGCCAUCCCCUCAAAACCUUCUUACACAAAUGUUUCCAAUUUUGUUUUUCUUUCUAGGCUUCCUGAAUGUCAACCACUGUGAACCACUUGCAUUUCCCCACCUAUGCCUAAACAAGCAGGGAGCUUUGGGCUUUAGAAUUAGUCAGGCUUGUGUUUGAAUCCCCUGUCUGCACUGUGUUUGACCCGGACAAAACAUUUAAAUUCUCUACCUCCAUUCUCUGUUCUAUAAAACAAGGAUGAUAAUACAUUCCUCCCAAGGUUUUAUAUGGAUUAAAUAAGAUUAUUUUAAGAAUCUAGCAGAGAAUACUCAACAGCAGGUAGUUAUAAAAGAACACUUCAAAUUAGUGUGACUAUGUGACUUAAAUGUUAGCUAUUCAGUCUUAUGUCUUUAUCCUUAAACUUAUAUAGACACAGUCCACCAAUGUCUCAAGACCCCUUUCAACUUUUACUUCUUCCAUAAGAUCUUCUCUGAUCUUCACACUAGAAGCAUUAUCAUUUUUGCAGUAAAUUUACAUGGUAAAAGAGAAAGUGAAAAAGUGUGGGGAGAGGAUAUGUGCAUACACUAUUUUAUUUCACCAUCUAACAACCUUAAGAAAUAUAUUUGAUUUAAAAACUGAGACUCAGAAAAAGUUAUUAAGCAAAGUAUUUAAAUCCUGGCUUGUGUGACCUUCAAUUUAUGUUCUGUCCAUUGAUUCUCAGUGUGCUAGCAGAGUCUAUUGAAGUCAAUCUGAGUUUUUGAGAUUUUAUUUUGUUUUGUUUUGCUUUGUUUUGUUUUGAGCAAUUGUAACUACUUGUAGAGACUGAUUUAUCUUGUCUUACUUUUCCUUACAGGUUGUCCAAGGAACAAAGGAAAAAAAAUACUUAUUUUCUAAACAGAAUAAAACUCAUUAUAACUUGUAAUUUGCUACAUGGCACCGUUGGGCAAUUUAAAAAAAUCCAGGAUACAUGAUGGAAUCUCUAUGAUCUUAUUUUUCCUCUCUCUUGAACAUUUCUAUUUCAUGAAUUCAGGAAUUACUUCAUUAUGACUCAUCAAUUAUUCCCAUCAAUGCUAAAAAUGAGUAAAAUGAUAAGAAAAUAGAAUAAUGAUGGAGUUGCCUGGAAGGAUGAUGCAAUUGCAAAAUAAACCUCCAUUCUCAUCAUCAUUCAGUUUUCUUAUUUUUUGACUAAAAUGUUGCAUCGUCAUUCAAGAACGCAUAAAAGAAGUCUGGAAACAUUCUUAUGAUCUACUUCUAGUUUCAUUGAGCACAGUUUAGAAUUUAGAAGUUCUAUGUUUCGUCCAUAACUGCAAAAAGAAGAAAAUGGACAAAGGAAGAUGUUUAGGUUAUUAGAUGAAUCAGAAGACAAAUGUAAAAAAGAGAGCUAAGUAUGCUAAACUUAAAUGAUUAGGGUGAAAUUGAAAUUAAUUGUUCAAAUGAAAUCUCAGACCAUGGAUUUUCAGAUGACAAUGAAUUUUCUCAAACUCAAGAAUCCACGAGGGAACAAUUCAUUUCCAAGGACAAAAAUGAAAUAGGAUAUUCUCAUGCAGUUAGUCCUUCAACCAGAAGGACUUCACCAUGCAAUAUUUUGUGGCAAGAACUUAUCUCAUUUUGUUUUAAGGGUAUAUUAUAAUACUUUUUCAUUUUUUAUAAAGUCUGUGUGCCAAAAUUUAUAGUUUUUAAGUACACAAAUGUUAAAGAAAGGUUAAGGCCAGUAUCAGAAUGAAAUCAAUUAUGUAUAAAUAAAAAAAAAACUCAUUGGAUUCAUCAUUCUAAAUAAUGUUUAAGAAUCUAAAAAUAAAAAUGUCUUGUAGUUAUGGAAUGGAGAUGACAUUGUUUUUUAACGAAAUUACGUGCCUCAAAGAUUUGAAAAAGUUGACUGUUGCAUUUUGAUAACGCAAAUUCUAAAUGAACCAGAAGUGAUACUAUGCUAGAACCUAUUAAAGAUGUGUUUGAAAUCUAGAAUUAGUAUCAAUUAGAUGUAUAUAUUGCAGGUUUAUUCAUGAUAUUGAUGGGCAGUUAGUUCCUUUCUGAAGAUGUUUCCAAUCUGGAGUAUAUACAUCUUCAAAAUCAGAAAAUUGAUGAAAUAAACUUUUGGUUUUGCUAUGUUUAAGUUCUUAUCACAAUUUUCACCUCUUUACUCUUACUUCUGUAAACCAUUUUUUAAAUGAUUUAAAAUAUUAAAAAACACUAAGAGGUCCAAAUGGUAAGUAAAGAUAACUAUUGUUCCUAGUAUACUGAGAUUAGCAUUUACAUUUUCUAAACCUCUAUUGCAUACUUAUCAAUUUAUCCUUAGUUAUAAAGUUAUAUAUGCCAUGUCUUAUCUCUUUUCUGGACCAGCAGCUUGCAGAGGGGAUUCAACAGAUGUUUAUUGCGUUAACAUCAAAACUCCCAGAACUUUUAUUUUGUGAAAAUAAUGAGAUGUUUGGAAUUAAAGUGAGUAUGUUUUCAUGGAGCAGUAUUUUUUGGAGGAAAGUAAAGUAAGGCUGAAUCUUACCUAGUCUUCUACAUUAUAGCCAAUUGAGCUCUGAAAUACAUUAGAUUAAACCAUUAAAUAACAGUGACUAUAAUGCAAUUACAUUUGACCUCUUCUCAGCAGGAUCAAACCAAAAAUGCAGUUAGGCACAACUGAAGUUCAAGAAAAGGAUCUUAAUAAAAUGAGAGUACUCUUAUUCCUUGAGGCUCUAUUUCUAGCUGUGGACCUAAAAACCCAUAGAAUUGGAAUACAGACUGCCAAAGAAUACCUUAUUAUACUCAGAGAAGAUUUUGAUAGGUGACUACCUUCAAUUUUAAGAGAGUAAAUUACACAGAAAGGGGAAUAAAUUACCUUAACAUAAAUUCUUGGUUCAAGUAAGUCAGGUAGUAGUUGGAUUUUAAUGGUGGGAUAACUUCUAAGGGAUAAACAUUAACUUGUAUUGAACUUUAAUCAUAAUGGCUUUUUGAUUAUGAUUUUUUUCAUACAGAGAUGAAAAGCUGAAAAAAAAGUGUUAAAAUGAUGAAGCAAAAGCAUACAAGGCCUAGUUCUUGUACUGGACAUUUAAAUUGAUUUCCUUAUCUACAAUAAAUAUAAAGAGAUGAACACCUUCUAAGAAUCACACAUGCUGGCCAUUUCUCCCCUCAAGGAGCAGUGAUGGAUGUUAUUCAGCUGCUACCUUGUCAUGUUGCCUGUGGAGUGGCAGCAGAGAGAAAAUGCAUUCUGGGUGCAGAAUGUCAAC